CCGAGUUUACAACUCCCAAACCCCUGUGAACAUACCACUUGUUGCCUCGGCGGAUCAGCCCGCUCCCGGUAAAACGGGACGGCCCGCCAGAGGACCCUUAAACUCAUGUUUCUAGUAUGCAUCACUUCUGAGUAAAACAUUAAUAAUUAC
RNAcentral lists this unclassified non-coding RNA (150 nucleotides) under soil metagenome. RNAcentral describes it as "partial internal transcribed spacer 1". The record is from RNAcentral.